GAUGAACGCUGGCGGCGUGCCUAAUACAUGCAAGUCGAGCGAACAGACGAGGAGCUUGCUCCUCUGACGUUAGCGGCGGACGGGAGAGUAACACGUGGAUAAAAUACCUCUAAGACUGGGAUAACUUCGGGAAACCGGGGCUAAUACCGGAUAAUAUAUUGAACCUCAUGGUUCAAUAGUGAAAGACGGUUUUGCUGUCGCUUAUAGAUGGAUCCGCGCAGCAUUAGCUAGUUGGUAAGGUAACGGCUUACCAAGGCAACGAUGCGUAGCCGACCUGAGAGGGUGAUCGGCCACGCUGGAACUGAGACAUGGUCCAGACUCCUACGGGAGGCAGCAGUAGCGAAUCUUCCGCAAUGGGCGAAGUGCUGACGGAGCAACGCCGCGUGAGUGAUGAAGGUCGUCGGACCGUAAAACUCUGUUAGUAGGGAAGAACAAAUGUGUAAGUAACUAUGCACGUCUUGACGGUACCUAAUCAGAUAGCCACGGCUUACUACGGG
This 497-nucleotide ribosomal RNA is filed under the name uncultured bacterium. RNAcentral describes it as "partial 16S ribosomal RNA". It matches the Rfam family "Bacterial small subunit ribosomal RNA", at positions 28 to 507 of the family's 1533-position model. The record is from RNAcentral.